This 253-nucleotide ribosomal RNA is filed under the name uncultured Bacteroidales bacterium. RNAcentral describes it as "partial 16S ribosomal RNA". It matches the Rfam family "Bacterial small subunit ribosomal RNA", at positions 524 to 776 of the family's 1533-position model. The record is from RNAcentral. Lineage: Bacteria; Pseudomonadati; Bacteroidota; Bacteroidia; Bacteroidales.
UACGGAGGAUGCGAGCGUUAUCCGGAUUUAUUGGGUUUAAAGGGUGCGCAGGCGGAGGUGCAAGUCAGUGGUCAAAUUGCGGGGCUCAACCCCGGGGCUGCAUUGGAAACUGGCGGGCUGGAGUUGGAGAGAAGUACGCGGAAUGCGCGGUGUAGCGGUGAAAUGCUUAGAUAUCGCGCAGAACCCCGAUUGCGAAGGCAGCGUACCGGCUCCACACUGACGCUGAGGCACGAAAGUGCGGGGAUCGAACAGG